Varanus komodoensis (Komodo dragon) is the source of this 511-nucleotide long non-coding RNA. RefSeq lists it as uncharacterized. The transcript has 3 exons. The record is from RefSeq and is a predicted model, not a curated record. NCBI's taxonomy places the organism in Eukaryota, Metazoa, Chordata, Lepidosauria, Squamata, Varanidae.
UCUUCUCCAUCUUAUCCCCACAACGACAACCCUGUGAGCUUCAGGACAAUUCCUCUGAAAUUCAGCUCAGUUUGGAAUCAGAUCCUCCUCACUGACAACCAUUCCUUCUCGUAAUGAUGAAGAAAACUGGUGGAAAGGACAGGUGAAGGCUGCAGAAGAUUGUUCUGCAAAGCAAGUACCCAGUAGACUUCCAAGAACUCGCCUACAAUGAAGUCUUUACAUAAGCUUGAGAAGUAAACAAUAUUCGCUUGGUCUACUAAACAAGAAAUUGCAUUUAUUUUAUUGCUAACAGUAUCACUGUGCAGUAAACACCAAGACAGAGACAUUCUCUGGAGUUAACAGUGCGGCUGUGAUACAAUGAAGUCAGUAUUCUCCUUGAAUUAUUCUUAAGAGAUGACUAGUGCAGAAGAAAAUUGCAAAAAUAAAACUUACAUUCUUUGCACAACAGAUGCUUAUGUGAAUGCAAUAUGCUACCAGACCAUACUGCCUUAAUAAAAUUACAUAAAAUCUC